Molecule: transfer RNA, 115 nt
Filed under: Mucilaginibacter agri
Lineage: Bacteria; Pseudomonadati; Bacteroidota; Sphingobacteriia; Sphingobacteriales; Sphingobacteriaceae
Description: Mucilaginibacter sp. R11 tRNA-Asp
Source: RNAcentral
UGUUGGGUGGUGAAAUUUUUGGCAGACACACCUCCUUGUCCCGGUGGCGGAGAAUUUGGGAAAUCAGUUUCGGCUGACUAACCACUCUGUGAAGGUUCGAAUCCUUCCCCAACAG